This 60-nucleotide transfer RNA is filed under the name Thelazia callipaeda (thelaziosis nematode). It matches the Rfam family "tRNA", at positions 14 to 71 of the family's 71-position model. Rfam says of the family: Transfer RNA (tRNA) molecules are approximately 80 nucleotides in length. Their secondary structure includes four short double-helical elements and three loops (D, anti-codon, and T loops). Further hydrogen bonds mediate the characteristic L-shaped molecular structure. tRNAs have two regions of fundamental functional importance: the anti-codon, which is responsible for specific mRNA codon recognition, and the 3' end, to which the tRNAs corresponding amino acid is attached (by aminoacyl-tRNA synthetases). tRNAs cope with the degeneracy of the genetic code in two manners: having more than one tRNA (with a specific anti-codon) for a particular amino acid; and 'wobble' base-pairing, i.e. permitting non-standard base-pairing at the 3rd anti-codon position. The record is from Rfam by way of RNAcentral. Lineage: Eukaryota; Metazoa; Nematoda; Chromadorea; Rhabditida; Thelaziidae.
AAUCCAGAAGGCAUCUAACUUUUAAUUAGGUGAUUGCAGGUUCGAGACCUGCCAGGAUCA